UGUGUGACAGAGAGAUAGGAAGGCAGAAAUAGGUGUCUUGCUAUAGAGGAGGUACAUGGUUAUCCAGUGAGAGAGAGUAACCAAGAAUGAGAGCAGAAAUAGGUGUGCUGCUGUAAAGGAGAUACAUGGCUACCUAGUCAGAGGGAAGAGCAAGGGAAAGGGGGGGGGAGAGUAGGAAACAGCAAAAGUGUAAGAGAGAGCAGGAGAGAGGUGGUGAAGUGCCAGGAUAUAUUUACAAGUAGCAAAUAUUAGAGCAUAGAUGUGAUGGUACAGUAAAGAAAAGCGAGAUACGAAGGUCAUAAUAUGCACGGUCAAGU
Long non-coding RNA from Octopus sinensis (East Asian common octopus), 317 nucleotides. RefSeq lists it as uncharacterized. The transcript has 2 exons. The record is from RefSeq and is a predicted model, not a curated record. NCBI's taxonomy places the organism in Eukaryota, Metazoa, Mollusca, Cephalopoda, Octopoda, Octopodidae.